AUGUGGACGAUCUGGCAUUCUCGCAACCGGAUCAAAUAUGGGGAAGAGGGGAGAGAUCCAACAGCUGCAAUCAGGUCAACUAGGGAGGCCCUUGCGCUGCUGGAGUUGCCUCAGAAGGAAACUAACGUCCUGCCAGGUUUCGGAUGGCGGCCUCCCGAGCCAGGUAUGAUCAAGAUAACGACGGAUGGUGCACUCAAUGUGGCAGAGGGUCGAGGAGGCGCGGGUGGUGUAGCCCGCUCCGAGUCAUCGCUACUGGGAGCUUGGUGCAAACCGUUCGGUGACAUUUCAGAUCCACUAAUUAUGAAAGCCCUUUCAAUGCGGGAAGGAGCACCGUUUGCAAAACUUCGAGGCCUAUCGCAUGUGGUAAUGGAGACCGACUACGAGGAGUUAGAUCAACUCUCUAAUACUUGUCACAACUCUCGUUCGAUUGUGGCUCCUAUCCUAGAUGAAAUAGGAGAGCUAGUUUUUGAAAGGAAAAAAAAAACAGUUUUUAAGAUUCAGCAUGUAAACAUGGCAGCAAACUUACCGGCGCAUCUCUGUGCAAAACGUGCAUGCACUCUGAAUGUGACCGAUUGUUGCUCGAGGAGACCCCUAGCUUCUUGGUAA
RNAcentral lists this ribosomal RNA (606 nucleotides) under Triticum aestivum (bread wheat). RNAcentral's name for it is "partial small subunit ribosomal RNA". The record is from RNAcentral. Lineage: Eukaryota; Viridiplantae; Streptophyta; Magnoliopsida; Poales; Poaceae.